AGGUUGACCUCGGAUCAGGUAGGGAUACCCGCUGAACUUAGCAUAUCAUUAA
Molecule: ribosomal RNA, 52 nt
Filed under: Cladosporium sphaerospermum
Lineage: Eukaryota; Fungi; Ascomycota; Dothideomycetes; Cladosporiales; Cladosporiaceae
Description: partial 28S ribosomal RNA
Source: RNAcentral